This 464-nucleotide ribosomal RNA is filed under the name uncultured bacterium. RNAcentral describes it as "partial 16S ribosomal RNA". It matches the Rfam family "Bacterial small subunit ribosomal RNA", at positions 28 to 507 of the family's 1533-position model. The record is from RNAcentral.
GACGAACGCUGGCGGCGUGCCUAACACAUGCAAGUCGAGCGAAUGAAGUUCCUUCGGGCAUGGAUUUAGCGGCGGACGGGUGAGUAACACGUGGGCAACCUGCCUCCUAGAGGGGAAUAGCCUCCCGAAAGGGAGAUUAAUACCGCAUAAGAUUGUAGUACCGCAUGAUACAUCAAUUAAAGGAGCAAUCGGCUAUGAGAUGGGCCCGCGGCGCAUUAGCUAGUUGGUGAGGUAAUGGCUCACCAAGUCGACGAUGCGUAGCCGACCUGCGAGGGUGAGCGGCGACACUGGGACUGAGACACGGCCCAGAAUCCUACGGGAGGCAGCAGUGGGGAAUAUUGCACAAUGGGGGAAACCAUGAAGCAGCAACGCAGCGUGAGUGAUGACGGCAGUCGGGUUGUAAAGCGCUGUCUACAGGGACGAUAAUGACGGUACCUGAGGAGGAAGCCACGGCUAACUACGUG